RNAcentral lists this ribosomal RNA (593 nucleotides) under Pseudomonas sp. B(2010). Its description in RNAcentral is "bacterial SSU rRNA". It matches the Rfam family "Bacterial small subunit ribosomal RNA", at positions 28 to 624 of the family's 1533-position model. The record is from RNAcentral. Lineage: Bacteria; Pseudomonadati; Pseudomonadota; Gammaproteobacteria; Pseudomonadales; Pseudomonadaceae.
AAUGAGGCUGGCGGCAGGCCUAUCACAUGCAAGUCGAGCGGAUGAAGGGAGCUUGCUCCUGGAUUCAGCGGCGGACGGGUGAGUAAUGCCUAGGAAUCUGCCUGGUAGUGGGGGAUAACGUCCGGAAACGGGCGCUAAUACCGCAUACGUCCUGAGGGAGAAAGUGGGGGAUCUUCGGACCUCACGCUAUCAGAUGAGCCUAGGUCGGAUUAGCUAGUUGGUGGGGUAAAGGCCUACCAAGGCGACGAUCCGUAACUGGUCUGAGAGGAUGAUCAGUCACACUGGAACUGAGACACGGUCCAGACUCCUACGGGAGGCAGCAGUGGGGAAUAUUGGACAAUGGGCGAAAGCCUGAUCCAGCCAUGCCGCGUGUGUGAAGAAGGUCUUCGGAUUGUAAAGCACUUUAAGUUGGGAGGAAGGGCAGUAAGUUAAUACCUUGCUGUUUUGACGUUACCAACAAAUAAGCACCGGCUAACUUCGUGCCAGCACCGCGGUAAUACGAAGGGUGCAAGCGUUAAUCGGAAUUACUGGGGUAAAGCGCGUAGUGGUUCAGCAAGUUGGAUGUGAAAUCCCCGGGUCAACCUGGGAACUGC